CCCAGCUGUAGGCAACUGCCUAGGUUACCUUGUACCUAGGCAAGUGUUACACUGCUGGAAGAAGAGUAGCCAACACCUGGAGGGCGUUCUGGGCUUGGGUAAUGCCAGAUUUGUGUUAACUAU
Molecule: small nucleolar RNA, 123 nt
Filed under: Ochotona princeps (American pika)
Lineage: Eukaryota; Metazoa; Chordata; Mammalia; Lagomorpha; Ochotonidae
Description: Small nucleolar RNA SNORA74 (ENSOPRG00000022441.1)
Source: RNAcentral